UCCGCGGCCAAACGGGCCCUUAUAUGAGCUGCAGUAGCUUAGAGUUCAAGUGAAAAGUAAAACAGUAACUUUUUGAAGAUGAAAAACGGUGAAAUUUGCAUUAAAAAAGUUGUGUUUGACGAAAUCAACCCCGGCUGAAACGGUGUCGUACGAUAUCACUUUUUUGUUUUCCUUCAUUUGAAUGGUACAACACAUGAUUAGUAGAGAAGAAGAAGUUUGAGUUGCUGUAAAUCACUAUCAAAAAGGAGAGCAGCGUGAUAAUUGAACUAAAGAACCCUAUCAUCACUGUGUUCCUCACGAGAAUAAAGCUCAUCAUUGCUCUAGUUUGUCGACAUAAUUAUGUGUUUCUGCAUGUAUUGCGAAGAACAAGAGGUGAAGAAAUAAGAAUGAAUAAAGCUACAAAGAAAAAAAGGGACCUUUUUUUGAAUCUGGGUAUCCCCAAAUGUCUUUUCUUUAUCUUCCUUUUUUGAGCAUUUAAGCUAUGGCUGACGAUUUCUGCGACUUCACCAAGGAUACGUUCAUCUUAAAGCAACCAAAGAAAUCUCCACUGCUGCUGAGAAUGGUGGUUUUACUCUUUGCAAUGAUAUGUGGAAUAUAUACAUGUUCAAUUUUUCUGAAACAAAUUGGUUCGCGUUCCAGUGGACUGCUUGCGACUGUUCAUGUCGUUGAAAGGCCAUGUGAGACGACUAAUGUUGACCCUUUGGAAAAACCUUACAUGCACUUCCCCAAGCCAAAAACUUUUAGCCGGGCUGAGUGUGCUUGCAAUCCUGUAAGGUUUUUUGCGAUUUUCUCCAUUCAGAGGUCUGGCAGUGGAUGGUUUGAAACAUUGUUAAACAGCCAUAUGAAUAUAAGCUCUAACGGGGAGAUUUUUUCUGUUAAAGUCCGCAAAAGUAAUGCAUCAACAAUUUUGGAAACAUUGGACAAACUCUAUGACCUAGACUUUUUGACCAGCGCUUCCAAGAAUGAAUGUACAACUGCAGUUGGUCUGAAGUGGAUGCUUAAUCAGGGUCUAUUGCAGCAUCAUGAGGAAAUUGUUGAGUAUUUCAAAAGGAGAGGAGUUUCUGCAAUUUUUCUCUUCAGAAGAAAUCUUUUGCGCAGAAUGGUUUCAAUUCUAGCAAAUUCCUAUGAUCAGAAUGCUAAGCUGUUGAAUGGAACCCACAAGUCUCAUGUGCAUUCUCCCAAGGAGGCUGAAAUUCUUGCAAGUUACAAGCCUAGAAUAAACACAACGACGCUGAUUGCAAACCUAAAGCAAAUACAAGGCAUGACUGCUAAUGCUUUGGAAUACUUCAAAAGCACUCGGCAUAUGAUCUUGUUCUAUGAGGACAUAAUAAAAAAUCAGACUAUGCUGAAUGAUGUGCAAGAUUUCCUGAGAGUUCCAAGAAUGGAUCUCCAUAGUCGUCAAGUGAAGAUACACAAGGCGCCACUGUCUUUGCAAGUUGAAAAUUGGAGUGAUGUUGAAAAGGCACUCAAGGGAACACCUUAUGAAAGCUUCCUACACGCAGAUUACAAAAUAUAAAUGUGCAGUUCUUGUGUAUAUGUAGCUUCUGUUGUUUAAAUCUAUUCUUUCAUUAUUUAUAUGUAAGCAGAAGCUAGCGGGAUUUGGCUAAGGCAGGUUGUUACCGAGUUCCUCUUGUUUCAGUUGCUAUUUUAAUCCAGUGAAUUGUGUGGAUGGCUUACUUGAUCUAGACAAGGUAAAGAAUGAGUAAAUUGAGUAGGUUAAAUAGGCUUACUUGACAUCUG
Solanum lycopersicum (tomato) is the source of this 1740-nucleotide RNA transcript. RefSeq lists it as uncharacterized. The record is from RefSeq and is a predicted model, not a curated record. Lineage: Eukaryota; Viridiplantae; Streptophyta; Magnoliopsida; Solanales; Solanaceae.